Molecule: ribosomal RNA, 401 nt
Filed under: uncultured bacterium
Lineage: Bacteria
Description: bacterial SSU rRNA
Rfam family: Bacterial small subunit ribosomal RNA
Source: RNAcentral
ACUCCUACGGGAGGCAGCAGUGGGGAAUUUUGGACAAUGGGCGCAAGCCUGAUCCAGCCAUGCCGCGUGCGGGAAGAAGGCCUUCGGGUUGUAAACCGCUUUUGUCAGGGAAGAAAGGUUCUGGCUAAUACCUGGGACUCAUGACGGUACCUGAAGAAUAAGCACCGGCUAACUACGUGCCAGCAGCCGCGGUAAUACGUAGGGUGCAAGCGUUAAUCGGAAUUACUGGGCGUAAAGCGUGCGCAGGCGGUUAUGCAAGACAGAGGUGAAAUCCCCGGGCGUCAACCUGGGAACUGGCCAUUUGUGAUCUGCAUGGCUAGAGUACGGUAGAGGGGGAUGGAAUUCCGCGUGUAGCAGUGAAAUGCGUAGAUAUGCGGAGGAACACCGAUGGCGAAGGCAAU